RNAcentral lists this ribosomal RNA (253 nucleotides) under uncultured bacterium. RNAcentral describes it as "partial 16S ribosomal RNA". It matches the Rfam family "Bacterial small subunit ribosomal RNA", at positions 524 to 776 of the family's 1533-position model. The record is from RNAcentral.
UACGGAGGGUGCAAGCGUUGUCCGGAAUCACUGGGCGUAAAGGGCGCGUAGGCGGCUCAUGAAGUCUGUGGUGAAAGUCCGGGGCUCAACCUCGGAUCGGCCGUGGCGACUCGUGGGCUGGAGCACUGUAGAGGCGGGUGGAAUUUCGGGUGUAGCGGUGGAAUGCGUAGAGAUCCGGAAGAACACCAGUGGCGAAGGCGGCCCGCUGGGCAGUGGCUGACGCUGAGGCGCGACAGCGUGGGGAGCAAACAGG